RNAcentral lists this ribosomal RNA (446 nucleotides) under uncultured bacterium. RNAcentral describes it as "partial 16S ribosomal RNA". It matches the Rfam family "Bacterial small subunit ribosomal RNA", at positions 338 to 795 of the family's 1533-position model. The record is from RNAcentral.
CCUACGGGAGGCAGCAGUAGGGAAUUUUCGGCAAUGGGGGGAACCCUGACCGAGCACCGCCGCGUGAACGAAGAAGUUAUUCGUAAUGUAAAGUUCUUUUAACAGGGAAGAAAGAGAAAUUUGACGGUACCUGAAGAAUAAGCUCCGGCUAACUACGUGCCAGCAGCCGCGGUAAUACGUAGGGAGCGAGCGUUAUCCGGAAUUAUUGGGCGAAAAGGGUGCGUAGAUGGCAUAGUAAGUCUUUUGUAAAAAUGCUGGGCUCAACCCAGUAGGGCAAAAGAUACUGCAAAGCUAGAGUAUGACAGAGGCAAGUGGAACUACAUGUGUAGCGGUAAAAUGCGUAAAUAUAUGUAAGAACACCAGUGGCGAAGGCGGCUUGCUGGGUCGAUACUGACAUUGAGGCACGAAAGCGUGGGGAGCAAACAGGAUUAGAUACCCCAGUAGUC